RNAcentral lists this ribosomal RNA (500 nucleotides) under uncultured Pseudomonas sp. Its description in RNAcentral is "partial 16S ribosomal RNA". The record is from RNAcentral. Lineage: Bacteria; Pseudomonadati; Pseudomonadota; Gammaproteobacteria; Pseudomonadales; Pseudomonadaceae.
CACAGAGUUAGCCGGUGCUUAUUCUGUCGGUAACGUCAAAAUCGUCACGUAUUAGGUAACGACCCUUCCUCCCAACUUAAAGUGCUUUACAAUCCGAAGACCUUCUUCACACACGCGGCAUGGCUGGAUCAGGCUUUCGCCCAUUGUCCAAUAUUCCCCACUGCUGCCUCCCGUAGGAGUCUGGACCGUGUCUCAGUUCCAGUGUGACUGAUCAUCCUCUCAGACCAGUUACGGAUCGUCGCCUUGGUGAGCCUUUACCCCACCAACUAGCUAAUCCGACCUAGGCUCAUCUGAUAGCGUGAGGUCCGAAGAGCCCCCACUUUCUCCCGUAGGACGUAUGCGGUAUUAGCGUCCGUUUCCGGACGUUAUCCCCCACUAUCAGGCAGAUUCCUAGGCAUUACUCACCCGUCCGCCGCUCUCAAGAGAAGCAAGCUUCUCUCUACCGCUCGACUUGCAUGUGUUAGGCCUGCCGCCAGCGUUCAAUCUGAGCCAGGAUCAAA